UACUCGUGCAUGGAAGGAGCACACAGUGCUCCCAUUUUUGUUUGGCUUGCCUCCUUGCUGCUUAUGCUCCUAAAGAGCACAUUACUUGCAAUGUGCUGCCCACCCUGUUCUAAGCAAUGAGGCAGCAUCAUAAUAUGUGGGACAUUUUUUAAAACUGUUGUUGCCCGUGGAUACAGUUGCUGUUGUUUCAUUAUUUUUUUUCUACUGAAGUUUCAAUUGAGAUGAAAACUUUUUCAUUGGGAUCUAAUGAAGAGAGACCUUGACAACAGAGCCAGAGAGAUGGUGAAAUCAUGGGAGCAAGAAGUGGGGACGCUAAAGAAAAAAAGUCAAAACAUAACAGCAUCUCUAAAGAUUGCCACCCAACCAAAGCUACUAUGGCAAAAGCUGAUGUGUGCAUGGAGUUUUGACAAGGAUGAGGAAAACGUGAAGCUGUAAAUCAAUAGAUCGCUUAUGAAUAUAUUGAACAGCACAGAUCCAUGGGGGACACUGCUAUUCACUGGAACGAUUUUCUCAAAGUAAAUGGUGAAACUCAACUACAUGAAGAAAGUAAGAUAUAGAGCAAAAGGGAUAAACAUAGUGAUGUGAUUUUUACAUAAGAAUGGCGAGAGAAACAGAAUUACUUAAAGAAUAUUUUUUAAAAAAACCCUAAAGCUGAUUUGACUAAUUCGUCUUGGCAUUUUCUUCCAAGUUCUAAUACUUCUUGGCAUUUUCUUCCAAGUUCUAAACUAAUUUAGUGCAGGAAAAUACAGUACAGUUAGCAUUCAACUUUAAUUGCAAUGAGGUGACAACAUACUGAGUAACUCAUUAUGAGUUGUAGAUGUGUUUACAAUGAGUUGACAAUGUGUUGGAUAAAGUGUUCUUCUAAAGUUGUAGAUCUAUUUACAGUGAGCAGUGGGGGAAUGUUCAUUAGUUGUCGAUUUGUUUGUUUACAUUGUUUUCGAUUUGCAAUUGCGAUAAAACAAAUUGCAGACUGAUGAAGGAUGAUUGUU
Mauremys mutica (yellowpond turtle) is the source of this 989-nucleotide long non-coding RNA. RefSeq lists it as uncharacterized. NCBI's taxonomy places the organism in Eukaryota, Metazoa, Chordata, Testudines, Geoemydidae. The transcript has 4 exons. The record is from RefSeq and is a predicted model, not a curated record.